RNAcentral lists this microRNA precursor (92 nucleotides) under Populus euphratica (Euphrates poplar). RNAcentral describes it as "miR2916 stem-loop (peu-MIR2916)". It matches the Rfam family "Eukaryotic small subunit ribosomal RNA", at positions 991 to 1082 of the family's 1831-position model. The record is from miRBase by way of RNAcentral. Lineage: Eukaryota; Viridiplantae; Streptophyta; Magnoliopsida; Malpighiales; Salicaceae.
UGGGGACUCGAAGACGAUCAUAUACCAUCCUAGUCUCAACCAUAAACGAUGCCGACCAGGGAUUGGCGGAUGUUGCUUCUAGGAGUCCGCCA